UCCGGAAUGGUGUAGUGGCUAGCAUUUCUGCCUCUCAUGAUCUGUCUAAUAAACAGUAUCUUUGUUCGCAGGAGACCGGGGUUCAAUUCCCCGUUCCGGAA
RNAcentral lists this transfer RNA (101 nucleotides) under Cadophora sp. MPI-SDFR-AT-0126. RNAcentral's name for it is "Leotiomycetes sp. MPI-SDFR-AT-0126 tRNA". It matches the Rfam family "tRNA". Rfam says of the family: Transfer RNA (tRNA) molecules are approximately 80 nucleotides in length. Their secondary structure includes four short double-helical elements and three loops (D, anti-codon, and T loops). The record is from Rfam by way of RNAcentral. Lineage: Eukaryota; Fungi; Ascomycota; Leotiomycetes; Helotiales; Ploettnerulaceae.